GCCGGGCGACGUGGCAGGCGCCUGUAGUCCCAGCUACUCGGGAGGCUGAGGCAGGAGAAUGGCGUAAACCCGGGAGGCGGAGCUUGCAGUGAGCUGAGAUCCGGCCACUGCACUCCAGCCCGGGGACAGAGCGAGAUUCCGUCUCAAAAAAAAAAAAAAAAAAAAAAAGAAACGGAGUCUCGCUCUGCCGCCCAGGCUGGAGUGCAGUGGUGGGAUCUCAGCUCACUGCAAGCUCCGCCUCCCAGGUUCAUGCCAUUCUCCUGCCUCAG
RNAcentral lists this signal recognition particle RNA (269 nucleotides) under Macaca mulatta (Rhesus monkey). RNAcentral describes it as "Metazoan signal recognition particle RNA (ENSMMUG00000051547.1)". It matches the Rfam family "Metazoan signal recognition particle RNA". Rfam says of the family: The signal recognition particle (SRP) is a universally conserved ribonucleoprotein. It is involved in the co-translational targeting of proteins to membranes. The eukaryotic SRP consists of a 300-nucleotide 7S RNA and six proteins: SRPs 72, 68, 54, 19, 14, and 9. The record is from Rfam by way of RNAcentral. Lineage: Eukaryota; Metazoa; Chordata; Mammalia; Primates; Cercopithecidae.